This is a long non-coding RNA of Erpetoichthys calabaricus (reedfish), 262 nucleotides long. RefSeq lists it as uncharacterized. NCBI's taxonomy places the organism in Eukaryota, Metazoa, Chordata, Cladistia, Polypteriformes, Polypteridae. The record is from RefSeq and is a predicted model, not a curated record. The transcript is spliced from 3 exons.
UGAAGCUGAAGUUUCUUUUUGUUCUUUUAGGGUGAGCCUGGUGAAGAUGGCAUCAAGGGGACACCCGGGGUUCCUGGAAAGAGGGGUUCUGAUGGUAGAAGGGGGCCUUCUGGACCACAGGGUGUCUCCAGGGCACCGGGACCUCAGGGCUCAGCUGGAGACUCAGGAACAAGAUGAACUCAGGUGAUGAGACACUUACUUACUCCUCGGCCUUUGUGCUACGGCAGCGGCAGAAACAACAGGAAUCAGAAGAGGCCGUAGC